UAUUUUUAAUUGACAUAGACCAAGUCCUCUAGUAAAAUGAGGAUGAUGCAUCGGGAAUAGCC
This 62-nucleotide transfer RNA is filed under the name Cissus discolor. RNAcentral's name for it is "partial tRNA-Phe". RNAcentral also lists the same sequence under 10 other names. The record is from RNAcentral. Lineage: Eukaryota; Viridiplantae; Streptophyta; Magnoliopsida; Vitales; Vitaceae.